GGGAAUGUGGCUUAGUGGUAGAGUGUGUACCUAGCAUGCACGAAGCCCUAGGUUCGAUUCCUCAGUACCA
This 70-nucleotide transfer RNA is filed under the name Dipodomys ordii (Ord's kangaroo rat). It matches the Rfam family "tRNA". From Rfam's summary of the family: Transfer RNA (tRNA) molecules are approximately 80 nucleotides in length. The record is from Rfam by way of RNAcentral. Lineage: Eukaryota; Metazoa; Chordata; Mammalia; Rodentia; Heteromyidae.